CCGUGCGAAGGUAGCGUAAUCACUUGUCUUUUAAAUAAAGACUAGUAUGAAUGGCAUCACGAGGACUUAACUGUCUCCCCCCUCCAAUCAGUGAAACUGAUCUCCCCGUACAAAAGCGAGGAUAAAUUCAUAAGACGAGAAGACCCUAUGGAGCUUAAAACCAAAAAUCACCUGUUUAAUCUCCUAUAGUAAUUUAGCACCAAAAUAGCAGGCCUAAUUUAGGUUUUCAGUUGGGGUGACUGUGGAGAAAAAUUAAUCCUCCAUGAAGACUUAAGCUUAGAGUAACCGCUCUGUGCAUUAGCAAGUCUAACCUUAUUUGAUCCAAUAUUUUUGAUCAACGGACCAAGUUACCCUAGGGAUAACAGCGCAAUCCAUUUCAAGAGUCCUUAUCGACAAAUGGGUUU
Molecule: ribosomal RNA, 404 nt
Filed under: Oreolalax rhodostigmatus (red-spotted toothed toad)
Lineage: Eukaryota; Metazoa; Chordata; Amphibia; Anura; Megophryidae
Description: partial 16S ribosomal RNA
Rfam family: Bacterial large subunit ribosomal RNA
Source: RNAcentral